AAAUUGAAGAGUUUGAUCAUGGCUCAGAUUGAACGCUGGCGGCAGGCCUAACACAUGCAAGUCGAACGGUAACAGGAAACAGCUUGCUGUUUCGCUGACGAGUGGCGGACGGGUGAGUAAUGUCUGGGAAACUGCCUGAUGGAGGGGGAUAACUACUGGAAACGGUAGCUAAUACCGCAUAACGUCGCAAGACCAAAGAGGGGGACCUUCGGGCCUCUUGCCAUCGGAUGUGCCCAGAUGGGAUUAGCUAGUAGGUGGGGUAACGGCUCACCUAGGCGACGAUCCCUAGCUGGUCUGAGAGGAUGACCAGCCACACUGGAACUGAGACACGGUCCAGACUCCUACGGGAGGCAGCAGUGGGGAAUAUUGCACAAUGGGCGCAAGCCUGAUGCAGCCAUGCCGCGUGUAUGAAGAAGGCCUUCGGGUUGUAAAGUACUUUCAGCGGGGAGGAAGGGAGUAAAGUUAAUACCUUUGCUCAUUGACGUUACCCGCAGAAGAAGCACCGGCUAACUCC
This 514-nucleotide ribosomal RNA is filed under the name Escherichia coli. Its description in RNAcentral is "bacterial SSU rRNA". It matches the Rfam family "Bacterial small subunit ribosomal RNA", at positions 1 to 504 of the family's 1533-position model. The record is from RNAcentral. Lineage: Bacteria; Pseudomonadati; Pseudomonadota; Gammaproteobacteria; Enterobacterales; Enterobacteriaceae.